ACCACGUGACCCUCCCUAUAUCAACACACGGACGCCAUUAAUAUUAAAGGCAGAGAGACGGAAAAUCAGAGGGUGCAGUUUAGAGAUGGAUUCGAAAUCUCGUCGGUUUCCGUUUGCUGUCUCCAGCUCUUCCUCGCUGUCAUCGCCGUCCUCGCUCUCCUCCUCAUCUUCAGCGCUCAGUGCGAGCAGACUCUAUGGCAGAGGGAGCGUAUUGGGAAGAGAUCGCUUUAGCAGAGAAGCUUCUGUCAAAUUAGACUCCGACUAUCAGAGCCCUCGUCUGCUGAGCUCUCCAAGAGGUUACAAUUCAACUGAAAGCCGUCACUCCAACUGGAAGCUCUCUACUCCUGUCUCUCUGUCUUCAUCAUCAUCGUCAUCUUCAUGUGAUCGAACAUGGACAGGAUCCACCAGUGGGGACCGAAGCAGACUUACCGACUCUGAGAGAAGACCGGGAACCUACUGUGGACUUCUUGGCACAUCCCAAGACAGCGAGUCUAAAAGAGCAAAACUUUCCUACACGAAUAGAGCAGGAUAUCCCAGAACCCCAUCGGCACCUAAACUUGCCAGUUCUUAUUCCACUUUAGGAAAUUCUUCAUGGAAAUCCUCCAUCAGUCCUUUGUCUAGAUCCUCUUCAUCAUCCCCCUCCUCAUCUUUGUCCACUCCAUCAGAGGGUCUUUGGGCUCGCAGAGAUUUGGAGAAGAGGGGGGAUUCAGGACUGACCUCACUGGGGGAGUCUAGUUACCGGCCUAGCGGGUUGACAUCUUCACUGUACCGCUCUGAUCGUGUUACCUCCACCUAUGCACAAGGUGCUCGACCCAAAGAAAGCCAAUAUUUAUCCCACAGAGAGAAUGGUUCAUCUAGUCGACGUAUCUCAGCCGAGUAUCUCCCUUCUCCUCUGGAGCGCAGCUCCUACAGGAUGACCUCAGAUUACCAGUCUGGUCCAUUCUCUCGUGAUAUGCCACGCUCCAGCUCUAGCUCCACCAGAACCACAGCCUCUGUCUCGGAACCAUCCCAGCGCUCAUCCUGGAGCUCCACCCCUUACACGCCCCUCACUGACUGUAGCUCCAGCCCUCCUUCCUCUAGCCCCGCCCCCACUCCACUUCCCGCUCAGAAUGGCGGUGAUUCAGAUGGCAGGCGAACAACCAGGCGUCUGCUAUCUCGGCUUUUCUCCCGACGCUCCAGUCAGGAAUCAAACUCUACCACCAGCUCUGCCUCUGAUUCAAGGUCAUAUGACUCAAGCCCAGAUGAAGCCCCAACCUCUGAAGCUUCUCCUCCUGUCAAUAGAGAAAAUUUGGAAGCGGAGUUGAGGAGCUUGCGCAGACGCGGACCAGCUCUCGCUCCAGUACAGGAGAGCUCUGUAGUAGAGCCCGCACAGGAAUCGAUCAGAUCUCCGACAGGCCUGUCCUGGCUGAACUGGAACCGCUGUACCCCACUGUUUUCUCGACGCAGGAGGGAAGGGCGUGAUGAAAGCGCCCGCAUGGACCCUCAUCGUUCAACCCAAUUCCCUCUUGGUGACCGAGAUGGCCGUAAAACACCCGACCGGGCCACAAAUUGUGAUGAUGAUGAUGAAGAGGAGUCCUCUGAGGGUGCCACAUCAGCAUCCUCUUCUGGAGCCUCAGGUCUCUCUGCAUCACUACUGCAGGACGGAGUCCGUCUGGCAGGACGAAGCCAUAGCAUGGGCAGACUGAUGACCAGCCCACUCUUCCGUAUGCCUGAGAAUAUGAUAAUUGGGGUGGGAGUGGGAGCAGAAGGGAGGAGUCAAACUGAUGAGCAGCCCGCCCCCUCCAGAGACCCAGAGAGACUGCGAAAGAUUCAGGAGAGCCUGCUGUUGGAGGACUCUGAUGAGGAGGAGGGUGAUCUGUGCCGAAUCUGUCAGAUGGGGGAGCAGUCGAGUUCCAACCCUCUGAUCGAGCCCUGCAAGUGCACUGGCAGCCUGCAGUUUGUGCACCAGGACUGCAUUAAGAAAUGGCUCCGCUCCAAAAUCAGCUCUGGUUCUAACUUGGAGGCAAUCACUACCUGUGAACUUUGUAAGGAAAAACUUCACCUGAACAUUGAGAACUUUGAUAUCAAUGAGCUCUACAGAUCUCACGAAAGGUCGGAGUACGAGUUCAUCAGCUGCGGGCUGUACCUGGUGGUGCUCCUGCAUCUGUGUGAGCAGAGGUUUUCUGAUGUCCUGGGUGCUGUAAAUGAUGCUGGGGUUCAUAUGCAGAAUCUGAUGAAGAUGAGGUGGAGGACAGCAGGCCGUCCAUCGACUUCUGUGACUUGGAGGAUGAUGAUGAAGAAGAGGAGGAGGUUUAAUGUGUUGGCAGGGAUGGAGGCGUGGCUUAGUCUGUCUCAGCAUCCUCCCACUUGCUCUUCUUGACCUGUGUCCUCCUGUGUCACUGUUCUUAGCCUAUCACAAGGCUUUCAUAAUAUGCAGAUCGUCUACAAACUGUAUGGGAGCUGUUUGAAUACUGUUGUUGUUGUUAGGAUCUUGGAUGAUUCAUACUUUUACACGAGGAAUGUUCAUCCACUCAUUUAUAGAACCGAUUGAAAAGAUCAUGUUUGUUAUCAAUGUCUUUAUUUUAAAAAAUAAAUAAGACCCUUAAUUUCCUGGUUUUUGUUUUUAUGUUAUUAAUACACUUUUUGUUUUUGGAGAAUGAGGUUGAAUGAGAAAAUGUGGUCACCUUUUUUUUUUUUUUCUCUCUCAAGACUUUCUCUUUACAGAAGACCUUUUCCACAGUCUGUUUGUAUGUUGUACAUUGUUAUAAUGUAAUUCGCUUGAAUUAUUACAAUAAAAUGGAGGUAUUUCAAUACCCCACAAAAAAC
Molecule: RNA transcript, 2805 nt
Organism: Carassius gibelio (silver crucian carp)
Lineage: Eukaryota; Metazoa; Chordata; Actinopteri; Cypriniformes; Cyprinidae
Gene name: E3 ubiquitin-protein ligase MARCHF7
Exons: 11
Source: RefSeq, a predicted model, not a curated record